Molecule: ribosomal RNA, 404 nt
Filed under: uncultured bacterium
Lineage: Bacteria
Description: partial 16S ribosomal RNA
Rfam family: Bacterial small subunit ribosomal RNA
Source: RNAcentral
GACGAACGCUGGCGGCGUGCCUAAUACAUGCAAGUCGAACGCAGUGGGGACGGGUGAGUAACACGUGGGUAACCUCCCAUCAGAGGGGAUAAAAGUUGGAAACAGGUGCUAAAACCGAUGCUGGUGGAUGGACUCGCGGUGCAUUAGCUAGGUGGAGAGGUAGCGGCUCACCAAGGCCACGAUGAAUAGCGGGUCUGAGAGGGUGAUCGGCCAAACUGGGACUGAGACACGGCCCAGACUCCUACGGGAGGCAGCAGUAGGGAAUAUUGGGCAAUGGACGAAAGUCUGACCCAGCAACGCCGCGGGAAUGAAGAAGGUUUUAGGAUCGUAAAACUCUGUUGUUAGGGAAGCGGUAUCCAACCAGAAAGCCACGGCUAACUACGUGCCAGCCGCCGCGGUAAUUC